CGUAAUAGCUCACUGGUCGAGUCGGCCUGCGCGGAAGAUGUAACGGGGCUAAACCAUGCACCGAAGCUGCGGCAGCGACACUAUGUGUUGUUGGGUAGGGGAGCGUUCUGUAAGCCUGUGAAGGUGUGCUGUGAGGCAUGCUGGAGGUAUCAGAAGUGCGAAUGCUGACAUAAGUAACGAUAAAGCGGGUGAAAAGCCCGCUCGCACCGAAAC
RNAcentral lists this ribosomal RNA (213 nucleotides) under Escherichia coli. RNAcentral describes it as "partial 23S ribosomal RNA". It matches the Rfam family "Bacterial large subunit ribosomal RNA", at positions 1133 to 1343 of the family's 2925-position model. The record is from RNAcentral. Lineage: Bacteria; Pseudomonadati; Pseudomonadota; Gammaproteobacteria; Enterobacterales; Enterobacteriaceae.